UGGGUGGUAGCUCAAAUCCCUGCGGAGAGCCCUCGAUGUGAGGAGAUGCGAGUUCGAUUCUCGUCCACUCAA
Molecule: transfer RNA, 72 nt
Filed under: Minisyncoccota bacterium
Lineage: Bacteria; Bacillati; Minisyncoccota
Description: tRNA-His
Rfam family: tRNA
About the family: Transfer RNA (tRNA) molecules are approximately 80 nucleotides in length.
Source: RNAcentral